Molecule: long non-coding RNA, 1851 nt
Organism: Cryptotermes secundus
Lineage: Eukaryota; Metazoa; Arthropoda; Insecta; Blattodea; Kalotermitidae
Exons: 5
Source: RefSeq, a predicted model, not a curated record
CGCAGAUGAGAGGCGGAGCGCCACAAGUGCGAGAGCUGGCGACGCGGAAGGAUGACUGCCGGUCAGCUGGUAGCGAUCAUCAGCUGACUCCGGGCCGGCCUCGAGAUGUGCGCACUGGCACACCGCUCCGAAGGUAACCGCGUUCCAUCAAGGUUCUGAGGGUUGCGUACCAGAACCACGUGAAACCAAGAAAGUCUGAAGUGCGCAUGAGCUGUCGUCAAUCGCUAACAGCCUCACCAACAGGACACAACAAUUCCAUUAUGUCUGAGACUUUCCCCAUUAAUGGAAGUAUUCAUCUGGUUAUGAGAUAUGCUGCUGUUUGAGACUCAAGGAUUCACUGCUAUGGUGCUUAGGGAAGCCUGCCACAUCCACCUGACAGCAAGUGGCUGAAGAAUCAUGAUUCAGUUUCUGGUAGGGGCUUUCUUUCAACCACUGUCUAGACUGGCAGUACCAGUGGUGCAGCUGACCGCUCCCCUCCAUCUACUCACUCCACCAUAUAUCUUCAUAGUGCUGUGUUUGAUCAAAUACUGUGAUUAGUUUAACACUGCCAGAAGUUGGCAAUAACUUCGUGGACAAGCCAUGGUCACUCUGUAUAGUUCAUUCGUGGACUACAGGCUUUUUUUUUUGUAUACCUAACUACCCUAACAAGCAAGUUUGUUUCUGAACAAGUUAUGUAGCAUAUUUAUGUACUUAACUUGAACAAACGUUUGUCAUGAAAACUGUAAAUUCUGACGUCCAAGGCACCUUCCAAACUGUGAGAACACACUCCACUCAGCCUGACAUGUGCUUUUGUCAGACAAUGCUAAAGACACUGCCUUGCACGAGCAUCACACCAUGCAAAUGUAUUUUGGAUUAUUGAGGCAUGCAAUGAACUUCCAGCUGUGACUGUCUUGUUCCUUUACAACAGGACCUGGGUGAAUAUCUAAGACCUAUGUUACCCCAGUUGACAGUGGCAUGUGUCUUGAAAUCUAAGCAUCUCAGGACAUAUGUUUGUAGCAUUUUCUACUUUUCAUUUAAUGACAAAAAACAAACAUUAUGGCGAGCUUGUGCACAAAUUUAACUUCAUCCCAUGUGUAUCAGAAGAACGCAAUUUGGUGUUUCAGUCCAGGUGACCUAACAGUGGAGGGUUUUCAGAUUUAUAAGUAUUACUGUUAAUUCCUAGAUUAAAUGUUGGCAAUGUACUUUUAAAAACAUUACAAGUGCUUUAAUCAGCUGAACAUGAUCCACACAGUUGGGAAAGGUUUGGUCACUUACCUACCACCCUGUGAGAUGAAUUAAAUGUGACGUAUAACCUUUUUGGCUAGUUGGCAUAUUCAAUUUUUUUUCAUCAAAUUUCACUUGUGACAGGUAGAUGUUUUCAUAUCUAAGUUUUAAGUAUUUAUGAAAUUAGUUUCCUCUGUUACACAGAUUCAUCUAGUUAGAAGAAAUAAUUGCUCUCUAAAAUUACAGUGAGUACAGACCUAACAAAAAUGUGAUGCUGAGCUUUCGAUAUGAUUAAAGACACUUCUAUGGAAAGCAGAAGGCAGGGACCAAGGAAAAUUUAUGUUCCAAGAGCUGUAAGCAUGUAACCAGGUACCUGUCCCAAUGAAGUGGGACACACAGCAGGGAUGAUAGUUCCAUGAGGACACAAGCAACAGGUUCAAUACAAACCCACCGCAUGUGAUGCACCAUUAGAUGCUAUGUUUGAAUAACAUCUGUAUGGUCCAUCUCGCUGCUGUUCUCAAGGGGCAGGUGCUGAAGAAAGGCAUGACUCUAUGGGGAAAUCUGUCCGAGAGGUAAACUCAAUCUGGCGGUCCAGCACGUGGAGGAGUGUUACCAUUAUGGCAAGGAGCAGUGCUGUCAUGAACUGAU